AAAUUUUCAAUAAAGAGUGGAAUAAAAAAAAAUUCUGUUCUUAUCAGUUUAAUAUCUGAUACGUCCCCCAGCGGGGGACUACAUAUUAAGCGGAUUUUUUUAACAGGGAGUCGGCAAAGGAGCUUGCUCCAUCCGCUCCAUUCAUUGACCCAGUAUUGCAGUGCCUCUGGGAGCGGUGCACUUUCU
Molecule: small nuclear RNA, 186 nt
Gene: U2
Rfam family: U2 spliceosomal RNA
About the family: U2 is a small nuclear RNA (snRNA) component of the spliceosome (involved in pre-mRNA splicing).
Source: Ensembl